This 498-nucleotide ribosomal RNA is filed under the name uncultured bacterium. RNAcentral describes it as "partial 16S ribosomal RNA". It matches the Rfam family "Bacterial small subunit ribosomal RNA", at positions 28 to 507 of the family's 1533-position model. The record is from RNAcentral.
GACGAACGCUGGCGGCGUGCCUAAUACAUGCCAGUCGAGCGGACGGAUGGGAGCUUGCUCCCAGACCGUCAGCGGCGGACGGGUGAGUAACACGUGGGCAACCUGCCUGUAAGACUGGGAUAACUCCGGGAAACCGGGGCUAAUACCGGAUAACUCUUUCCCUCACAUGAGGGAAAGCUGAAAGAUGGCAUCUCGCUAUCACUUACAGAUGGGCCCGCGGCGCAUUAGCUAGUUGGUGAGGUAACGGCUCACCAAGGCGACGAUGCGUAGCCGACCUGAGAGGGUGAUCGGCCACACUGGGACUGAGACACGGCCCAGACUCCUACGGGAGGCAGCAGUAGGGAAUCUUCCGCAAUGGACGAAAGUCUGACGGAGCAACGCCGCGUGAGUGAUGAAGGUUUUCGGAUCGUAAAACUCUGUUGUCAGGGAAGAACAAGUACCGGAGUAACUGCCGGUACCUUGACGGUACCUGACCAGAAAGCCACGGCUAACUACGUG